This 89-nucleotide non-coding RNA is filed under the name Pseudomonas chlororaphis. RNAcentral also lists the same sequence under 2 other names. The record is from RNAcentral. Lineage: Bacteria; Pseudomonadati; Pseudomonadota; Gammaproteobacteria; Pseudomonadales; Pseudomonadaceae.
CUUGAUGACGGCUGUGCGUGGGAGAUCUUCGGGUCUGCCGGCUUUACUUCUGGUGUCGGUUCGCCAACCUGCGUACAGCCGUCACCCUU